This 250-nucleotide long non-coding RNA is filed under the name Panax ginseng (ginseng). Its description in RNAcentral is "long non-coding RNA (PGIN_LNC003392)". Lineage: Eukaryota; Viridiplantae; Streptophyta; Magnoliopsida; Apiales; Araliaceae. The record is from RNAcentral.
GACAAAAUACUGAACAAAGCCUCAAGUUCAAAUACGAACGAAAAUAUAAUAUCUAAAUAUCUGAAUGGAAUAUAUCUGAAUCAACGUAAUGAAUAUAUUUGAAUCAACGUAAUUGACGAAACCAAUAAAAGAAUAAAGAAAUAACGAACUGAAGUAACUAACUCAAUGACUUGAACUAAACAGAAACCAACAAAACUAAUCCAAUAAAAUAAUAGGCUGAAACAAAUGGCUGGAGUUAUUUUAUACCGAA